RNAcentral lists this ribosomal RNA (771 nucleotides) under uncultured bacterium. Its description in RNAcentral is "bacterial SSU rRNA". It matches the Rfam family "Bacterial small subunit ribosomal RNA", at positions 734 to 1504 of the family's 1533-position model. The record is from RNAcentral.
AUAAUACUGACACUGAGGCUCGAAAGCGUGGGUAGCAAACAGGAUUAGAUACCCUGGUAGUCCACGCCGUAAACGAUGUCUACUAGUCGUUGGGUCCCUUGAGGACUUAGUGACGCAGCUAACGCAAUAAGUAGACCGCCUGGGGAGUACGGCCGCAAGGUUAAAACUCAAAUGAAUUGACGGGGGCCCGCACAAGCGGUGGAGCAUGUGGUUUAAUUCGAUGCAACGCGAAGAACCUUACCUGGUCUUGACAUAUCUAGAAUCCUGCAGAGAUGCGGGAGUGCCUUCGGGAAUUAGAAUACAGGUGCUGCAUGGCUGUCGUCAGCUCGUGUCGUGAGAUGUUGGGUUAAGUCCCGCGACGAGCGCAACCCUUGUCCUUAGUUACCAGCGGGUUAAGCCGGGAACUCUAAGGAUACUGCCAGUGACAAACUGGAGGAAGGCGGGGACGACGUCAAGUCAUCAUGGCCCUUACGACCAGGGCUACACACGUGCUACAAUGGUAGGUACAGAGGGCAGCUACACAGCGAUGUGAUGCGAAUCUCAAAAAGCCUAUCGUAGUCCAGAUUGGAGUCUGCAACUCGACUCCAUGAAGUAGGAAUCGCUAGUAAUCGCGGAUCAGAAUGCCGCGGUGAAUACGUUCCCGGGCCUUGUACACACCGCCCGUCACACCAUGGGAGUUGAUUGCACCAGAAGUGGAUAGCUUAACCUUCGGGGGAGCGUUCACCACGGUGUGGUUGAUGACUGGGGUGAAGUCGUAACAAGGUAACCGUA